Long non-coding RNA from Limulus polyphemus (Atlantic horseshoe crab), 936 nucleotides. RefSeq lists it as uncharacterized. Lineage: Eukaryota; Metazoa; Arthropoda; Merostomata; Xiphosura; Limulidae. The transcript has 3 exons. The record is from RefSeq and is a predicted model, not a curated record.
AAUGGCUUCUUUGUCGUGACUAGUCGUCAUACCAAAAUAAUGCCUCCCGUGUUUCAUGCAUCAUGGGUAUUGUGUAACAACCAAGUGCGUCCCCAAUGUCGAAAAAACGAACACCAGCUACAAAUCAUGGUCAGUAUAUCAAGGUCACGAGAAGCUACGAUUAAUGUAAGCGUAUUCAGGGCAGCCAAUCAGCUAUAAAAAUAAAAAUCGUGAAAUGAUUCUUCCUCGAUAUACCAUCUACAGAUCCCCCUGUUUGAUUCUACUGUUUAUGUGAAGGACGUUGUCUAUAAGACAGUGGUACCGGAUAUGAUAACGUUGCGUGCCUAAAUAACUGUGACGAUUACUGCGGGGAAGAUGGUGAUUACGUUGGCGGAGAUCGACUAGGCUUACGUCGAGCUACGAACGGUGUCAGUGUCGAGGUAUACUAACGUCACCACGGACAAGCCUGAAUUGUACCACAUUAUGUAUCUUACGUUGUUCUUAUUCUGUUAAUGAAAUGUUUCAAUAAUAUACGGACAUCUUCUAUCACUUGCGAAAAUGGUGAGCUUGUGCUUCGACGAAAGCAUGGUGAUACGAAAAGUACCGCAGAUACAAGAAAAUUAGCAAGUAAAUAAUCUAUUUAGCGUUAUUUGUGAAGUUAGGCCUAUCGUUACUUCGUGAAACAGUGUAAGGGUAGAACUUGUAGUCAUAGAAAUAAAACAUAUUUGAUGUCAUUAAGUGGAGUAGACUUUGCAUUAUUUUUCUACGAAAUCCGAAAUAAACCAUUAUUACAAUGCUGUAAAGAAGUGGAAUUAUUUUCGUACAAAUAGAAAAGAUUUCAGAAUGAGCUUUAAAAUCACGACACGCGCAUGAACGGAAACACGACAAUUUAACAAAGACGAAAUUAAAAGAAGAUCAGGAUGAAAGAGAAAGGAAAUUAAAAGAAGGUCAUACAGA